Molecule: ribosomal RNA, 1573 nt
Filed under: metagenome
Description: bacterial LSU rRNA
Rfam family: Bacterial large subunit ribosomal RNA
Source: RNAcentral
CUAGCAAAAAGGCGGGCGAAAACCCCGCCCAUCGAAAACCUAAGGUUUCCUGGGCAACGCAAAUCGACCCAGGGUUAGUCGAUCCUAAGGCGUAUCCUGUGUAGUGCAGGAGCUAGCCGAUGGAUGAGCUGGUUAAUAUUCCAGCACUACUGUUGUUUUCCGAAGGGGGGACGCAAGUCUAAAGUUUAAGCGUGCUAUGGUAUGUACGUUCUUUGUCUCAAGAAACGGUCUAGGCAAAUCCGGACCAAUAGUUUCAAGGGAUUGAGAAGAGAUAAAACCGCAAGGUGGAAUCAAUUUAAGUAGCAGAUUUGACUAGAAAAACCUCUAGGGCUAAGGCAACAGUAAUCGUACCGUAAACCGACACAGGUAGGUGAGGCGAGAAGCCUCAGAUGUACGAGGGAAACUUCGUUAAGGAACUCGGCAAAACAGCGGCCGUAAUUUAGAGAUAAGGCCUGCCCCAGCAAUGGGGCCGCAGCUAAAGAGCCCAAGGGACUGUUUAUCAAAAACAUAGCUCUCUGCUAACUCGUAAGAGGAUGUAUAGAGGGUGAUGCCUGGCCAGUGUCCGAACGUUAAGAGGAGAGGUUAGUCGCAAGACGAAGCCUUGAAUCCAAGCGCGGAUGAACGCCGGCGAUAACUAUAAUCGUCCUAAGGUAGCGAAAUUCCUUGUCGGGUAAGUUCCGACCUGCACGAAUGGCUUAACCACUUGGGCACUGUCUCAACGAAGUACUCGGUGAAAUUGCAAGACGAGUAAAGAUGCUCGUUAACCACAGUUGGACGAAAAGACCCCGUGAAGCUUUACUACAACUUGAUAUUGAAUUAGGGAUAUACAUGUUCAGAAUAGGUGGGAGCCUUCGGGCGCCAGUGAGAUACCACCCUUGUCUAUUUUUAAUUCUCACCCGGAAAUUCCGGGGACAGUGUCUGGUGGGUAGUUUGUCUGGGGCGGAUGCCUCCCAAAAAGUAACGGAGGCGUUUACAAAGGUCAGCUAUCCCGGAAUGGAAACCCGGGAGAUAGUGUAAAGGCAUAAGCUGGCUUUACUGCGAGACUUACCAGUCAAGCAGUCGCGAAAGCGGAACUUAGUGAUCCGACCAUUCAAUAUAGGAUGGUGGAAGCUCAUCGGAUAAAAGCUACUCCGGGGAUAACAGGCUAGUCACGCCCAAGCGUCCACAGCGACGGCGUGGUUCGGCACCUCGAUGUCGGCUCGUCGCAUCCUGGGGGUGAAGAAGCUCCCAAGGGUUGGGCUGUUCGCCCAUUAAAGCGGCACGCGAGCUGGGUUCAGACCGUCGUAAGACAGGUCGGUCUCCUAUCCACUGUGGUCGUGGAAACUUGAAGAGGCCCUUCCUUAGUACGAGAGGACCGGGAAGGACGAAGCUCUAGUGAACCUGCUGUUCUACCAAGGGCAUUGCAGGGUAGCUACCUUCGGUUAAGAUAAGCGCUGAAAGCAUCUAAGCGCGAAGCUGUCUCUGAGAUUAGGUUUCAUAGACUGGUUAGAGAAUAUAACCUUGAUAGGCCGUACGUGUAAGUCCAGUAAUGGAUUGAGCGGAGCGGUACUAAUAUGUCAUCAGAUUUUCCCAC